GGAAAUGUCAAGUUUAAACUCUGGUUCCUUCAACAGCUUUACAGUCCUUUCCAUUCCUCCCAUCUGCUCCUGACACAUUUUAUGGAAAUAAAUGAAGUAUGAACAGCACGUGCCCCCAGUGGCUGGGGGGACAUGGCAGCAACAGGAACAGGGCAGUGUCUUUCAGAAUACUUAAUCUGCCCUCACAACAGCUGUUUAGUAUUUGUGGAAAUAUCUCAAGCCCUAGGAUCUGCACUGGAAGCUUUGGCAUCACCAUCCAAAAGCAAUGCAAGAUGCUGGGCUGCGUUCUGGUCAGUCUGCAUGUUCGCAGCGAGUGAGAUCUCGGAAUGGCGUGUGCUCAUUGAGCCUUGCUUCAGUUCCAUGGCCCUAUCCAAGAAGUACCUGACCCUGUCCUAUGACUUGGAGAACUUCAGCAUACGUUUCCAAGGUCAUCACAGUGCUGUUCAAACAAAGCAACUUUGAAAAGAAAUCACUCCCUUCUACAAUGAUGGUAAACUCAUGAGAAGUCCCAGCUGCCUUUCCAGCAGUGAAAAAACUUCCUCUUCCAGGCUGAAAAGGGAGAAGAGUGAAAGUUUCUGAACAUAUGAAGCUGAAAAGGGAGGAAGACUAGAUGUGUCGGGGAUAGGUUUUCAGUUUUCAGUGAUCAGUUUACAGAGCUGGAUCCAGAUAAAAAUCUAUUUUUGGGUCUUAUAAAAUGACUGGUGGGUAUCUGACCAAUUUACAGUGUUCACAUCACUAAAAUCAAUAUCACAAAAAUCAGCCCUAACCAACCAUAUCAAGGGUAACUAAAACAAAGCGGCCAUAUAAAUCUGGACUAUUUCAAUGGCAAAGAUGGCCUUGCAAAACCACCAUUAAAGAAAAGUAAUAUGGAGGGUCAAAAACUAGUGGCUAUCAAUUGAUUGAACCAAACCAAACCUACGAUGACCUUCAGAGUCCACUCAACUAAAGGAACCUACUUUAUAACAUUAGCUCUGAAAUGUCUUUUCAAGAGAAGACUAGAGUAUCCAAAUAAAUUAUGUUGCCCUAUAACUACGAGUCA
Molecule: long non-coding RNA, 1039 nt
Filed under: Crocodylus porosus (Australian saltwater crocodile)
Lineage: Eukaryota; Metazoa; Chordata; Crocodylia; Crocodylidae
Description: lncRNA (ENSCPRG00005000986.1)
Source: RNAcentral